GAUGGAUAUCCCCUCAUCCAUGCCCGAUAUUUGGGGGAAAUGAGAACUUUUACACCUACCCAGGUUCUUGGAAUGGUGUUUUCGGAUCUCAAAACUAUAGCAGAGAAGAAUCUCAAUGCAGCAGUUGUUGAUUGCUGCAUAGGAAUUCCCAUUUAUUUCACUGAUCUUCAGAGAAGAGCUGUAAUGGAUGCAGCCACCAUAGCUGGCUUGCGCCCUUUGCAUCUAAUUCAUGAGACAACAGCUACUGAAAUGAUUGUUGCAUAGGAAUUCCGAUUUAUUUCACUGAUCUUCAGAGAAGAGCUGUAAUGGAUGCGGCCACCAUUGCUGGCUUGCAUCCUUUGCAUCUAAUUCAUGAGACAACAGCUACUGCAUUGGCAUAUGGUAUUUACAAGACAGAUUUACCUGAAAAUGACCCACUGAAUGUUGCUUUUA
This 432-nucleotide long non-coding RNA is filed under the name Nicotiana benthamiana. Its description in RNAcentral is "long non-coding RNA (NBEN_LNC037342)". Lineage: Eukaryota; Viridiplantae; Streptophyta; Magnoliopsida; Solanales; Solanaceae. The record is from RNAcentral.